AAAAACUCGGGUGGUGUAAGAUGGACCCGCGUCUGAUUAGCUGGUUGGUGAGGUAACGGCUCACCAAGGCGACGAUCAGUAGCCGGCCUGAGAGGGUGAACGGCCACAUUGGGACUGAGACACGGCCCAAACUCCUACGGGAGGCAGCAGUGGGGAAUAUUGCACAAUGGGGGAAACCCUGAUGCAGCAACGCCGCGUGAGUGAAGAAGUCAUUCGUGAUGUAAAGCUCUAUCAGCAGGGAAGAAAAUGACGGUACCUGACUAAGAAGCCCCGGCUAACUACGUGCCAGCAGCCGCGGUAAUACGUAGGGGGCAAGCGUUAUCCGGAUUUACUGGGUGUAAAGGGAGCGUAGACGGCGGCGCAAGUCUGAAGUGAAAUGCCAGUGCUCAACACUGGAACUGCUUUGGAAACUGUGUGGCUAGAGUGCAGGAGAGGUAAGUGGAAUUCCUAGUGUAGCGGUGAAAUGCGUAGAUAUUAGGAGGAACACCAGUGGCGAAGGCGGCUUACUGGACUGUAACUGACGUUGAGGCUCGAAGGCGUGGGGAGCAAACAGGAUUAGAUACCCUGGUAGUCCACGCGGUAAACGAUGAAUACUAGGUGUCGGGGGGCUAUAGCCCUUCG
RNAcentral lists this ribosomal RNA (621 nucleotides) under uncultured bacterium. Its description in RNAcentral is "bacterial SSU rRNA". It matches the Rfam family "Bacterial small subunit ribosomal RNA", at positions 202 to 842 of the family's 1533-position model. The record is from RNAcentral.